Molecule: ribosomal RNA, 468 nt
Filed under: uncultured bacterium
Lineage: Bacteria
Description: partial 16S ribosomal RNA
Rfam family: Bacterial small subunit ribosomal RNA
Source: RNAcentral
GACGAACGCUGGCGGCGUGCUUAACACAUGCAAGUCGAACGGAAAGGCCCUGCUUUUGUGGGGUGCUCGAGUGGCGAACGGGUGAGUAACACGUGAGUAACCUGCCCUUGCCUUUGGGAUAACUUCAGGAAACUGGGGCUAAUACCGGAUAGGAGCUCCUGCUGCAUGUUGGGGGUUGGAAAGUUUCGGCGGUUGGGGAUGGACUCGCGGCUUAUCAGCUUGUUGGUGGGGUAGUGGCUUACCAAGGCUUUGACGGGUAGCCGGCCUGAGAGGGUGACCGGCCACAUUGGGACAGAGAUACGGCCCAGACUCCUACGGGAGGCAGCAGUGGGGAAUAUUGCACAAUGGGCGGAAGCCUGAUGCAGCAACGCCGCGUGCGGGAUGACGGCCUUCGGGUUGUAAACCGCUUUCGCCUGUGACGAAGCGUGAGUGACGGUAAUGGGUAAAGAAGCACCGGCUAACUACGUG